CCGUGGCGGCGUGCCUAUACAUGCAGUCGAGCGAACUGAUUAGAAGCUUGCUUCUAUGACGUUAGCGGCGGACGGGUGAGUAACACGUGGGCAACCUGCCUGUAAGACUGGGAUAACUUCGGGAAACCGAAGCUAAUACCGGAUAGGAUCUUCUCCUUCAUGGGAGAUGAUUGAAAGAUGGUUUCGGCUAUCACUUACAGAUGGGCCCGCGGUGCAUUAGCUAGUUGGUGAGGUAACGGCUCACCAAGGCAACGAUGCAUAGCCGACCUGAGAGGGUGAUCGGCCACACUGGGACUGAGACACGGCCCAGACUCCUACGGGAGGCAGCAGUAGGGAAUCUUCCGCAAUGGACGAAAGUCUGACGGAGCAACGCCGCGUGAGUGAUGAAGGCUUUCGGGUC
Molecule: ribosomal RNA, 400 nt
Filed under: Priestia megaterium
Lineage: Bacteria; Bacillati; Bacillota; Bacilli; Caryophanales; Bacillaceae
Description: bacterial SSU rRNA
Rfam family: Bacterial small subunit ribosomal RNA
Source: RNAcentral